UGAACGACUCUCGGCAACGGAUAUCUCGGCUCUCGCAUCGAUGAAGAACGUAGCGAAAUGCGAUACUUGGUGUGAAUUGCAGAAUCCCGUGAACCAUCGAGUCUUUGAACGCAAGUUGCGCCCGAGGCCACCCGGUCGAGGGCACGUCUGCCUGGGCGUCACGU
RNAcentral lists this ribosomal RNA (164 nucleotides) under Cocculus trilobus. RNAcentral describes it as "5.8S ribosomal RNA". It matches the Rfam family "5.8S ribosomal RNA". Rfam says of the family: 5.8S ribosomal RNA (5.8S rRNA) is a component of the large subunit of the eukaryotic ribosome. It is transcribed by RNA polymerase I as part of the 45S precursor that also contains 18S and 28S rRNA. Functionally, it is thought that 5.8S rRNA may be involved in ribosome translocation. Lineage: Eukaryota; Viridiplantae; Streptophyta; Magnoliopsida; Ranunculales; Menispermaceae. The record is from RNAcentral.